Long non-coding RNA from Humulus lupulus (European hop), 3046 nucleotides. RefSeq lists it as uncharacterized. The record is from RefSeq and is a predicted model, not a curated record. Lineage: Eukaryota; Viridiplantae; Streptophyta; Magnoliopsida; Rosales; Cannabaceae. The transcript has 2 exons.
ACAUUGAGUGUGAACCGAUGAACACCCCUAGAAAUAAGACAAAAUAUUUUUAAUGUACUAAAAAGUGUGGAAGGUUUAGGAAAGUCUUUAGAAGCAUUUUUUCCCAAAUUUCUUCGACUCUUCUUCUCCGUUCAAUCUCCAUGGCUCAAGCAAGAACUUGAUCUACUCAGGAGCAACCUUCUUCCUCCAUUGAUUCCGAUGCGCCACCUCCUUCUCCAACUCCGAUCACCACUGGACAGGGAGUCCCUGCCUCUGCAUCAAAUCCAUCUCUGAAUCCACCUGUUCGUGAUCGACCUGCUCAAGAAGAUGAAAAUAAUCCCUACUGAAUGGGCAAUGGAGACCACCCAAGCUUGAUUCUUGCUUUCCCACCACUCACGGACACUAAUUUUCAACAAUGGGCCCGUGAUUUCAAAUCUCAGUUAGUGCCAAGAACAAAUAUGGCUUCCUCACUGGAUCUAUUCCCCAACCCCCUUCUAACCACCAUUUGUUUGAUUCUUGGAACAUGUGCAAUCAGAUGGUUAUGUCUUGGGUUAUUCACUCGGUAUCACCAGAAAUCAAGAGAAUCAGCAUGUUCCUUGAUACAGCUGCUGCAAUGUGGACCGAGUUAAACAACCAAUUUAAUCAAGGAAAUGGCACUCGCAUCUUUGAUCUUCAGACAUCUCUCAUUACUCUUCAUUAGGGAGAAAAUUUCGUAAGUGCGUACUUCACUAAACUCAAAGAAAUUUGGGAUGAGAUUCAUGAACUCUGACCACGCACACCAUGUACCUCUACUGCCACUGCUGACAACCUUGAGCUUCAGAAUCUUGAGCAAGUUUUUUAAUUCCUCACUGGACUAAAUGAGUCCUACAAUGUCAUUCGUGGUCAGGUACUUCUUAUCAAUUCUUUCCCCUCUAUUGCAAAAGUCUUUUCUACUAUUGCGCAAGAAGAAAGGCAGAGGAAAUUGAGGCACUUAUCUCCUACAACUCUCAUAGCUGCAUCCACUUCCAAUGCCCCACCUUCCAAUCUGCCGCCACUUCCACAUUAAAGAACCAAAAAGAUGCGGCCUACAUGUUCUCAGUGCAAAAAAUCCGGGCCACCUCGAAGAAAAAUGCUACUUCAUCCAUAGUUUUCCCCUAGAUAUGGCACCAAAAAUUUCACCAACAAGCCUACUAUCAAUCAAACUAUUGCUUGUACUCCAAUUCCUAAUGAGUUGGACAAUCACGCUGCUAUACAAAAUCUCAUUGCUUUGCUCAGCAUUAAACUCCAACAAGCUUCAUCUUCCAAUACAGAUGCUCUACCCGUGGUUUCCAAUUUUUUUGGUAACUUUAUAUCUCUUUCUAAUGAUUAUUGGGUCUAUAUGUUAAAAUGCAAAUAUGAUGUUCAAACUAUUAUUCCUAAAUUUUAUACUUAUGCACUCACUCAAUUUCCAGCCCCCAUAAAAGCCAUAAGAUCGGAUAGUGCUAAAGAACUAAACUUAAGUUAUUUUUAUGCAACAUAAGGCAUCCACUUAUAUCAUUCUUGUGUUGAGCGCUCUCAACAAAACUCUGUUGUUGAGUGCAAACACCAACAUAUCCUUAAUGCAGCUCAGGCAUUAGCUAUACAAUCUAAGUUAUCUCUUCCAUAUUUGAACUAUUCCAUUACUACUGAUGUAUAUAUUCUCAAUAGAACACCUUCUGCACUCUUAAACCUUCAUUCUUCUUUUGAAAUUUUAUAUGCUAAAUUACUAUCUUAUGAUCAUCUUCAAAGUUAUGGCUGCCUUGUUUAUGCAUGUACCCUUGAUAGUAAACGCACUAAGUUUACUCCUAGAUCUUGUGUUUGCAUAUUUAUUGGCUAUCCUCCAGGUAAGAAAGCAUAUACUCUACUCGAUAUAGCUACUAACCAAAUCUUUCAUUCACGAGAUGUUAUUUUUUAUGAGCAUAUUUUCCCUUUGACUCAAUCAAGUUCUAUUAAAACUUUUGGUUCUAUUUUUUUACAGCAGUCAUCCACCUUUAAUUUCCAAUACUGAGGACACAUCAUUUGUACCUACUAAUGAUUCAUAUGAGCAGCCAACAAUUACUUCUAAAGUUGGUCAAAAAAUUAUUCAGCUGCCACAUCUCAAAGACUACAUAAGUGCAAAAUCUUCUUCAACCCCUAUGAAGCCUAAUAUUAAAUUAAGCAAAGAUGAUGGAGAGUUACUUACCGAUCCUACUUCCUAUAGGAGUUUAAUUGGUAAAUUAAUUUAUCUAACCAUUAAUAGACCAGAUACUUCAUUUUCUGGAACAAGUUGAGCUAAUUCUUAAGCGUGCCUAGACAACCUCAUUACAAGGCUUCUCAAAGAAUCCUCCAGUAUCUCAAAGGAAAUCUUGCUCAGGGACUUUUUUUUUCACUCAGCACCACCAUCACAGCACAAAGAUGUUGCUGCCUCGCAUUUAUAAGCAUCCCUUUUUUCAUCUCAAAGGUGUUUCAAAUGCCGAUUGGGGUACAUGUCCGGAUACCAGAUGCUCAAUAUCAAGCUAUUGCAUUUUUUUUGGGUAGAUCUCUAGUUUCAUGGAAGUCUAAAAUGAAAACCACAGUUUCAAGAUCUUCUGCAGAGGCUGAAUAUCGUGUUAUGGAAAACACAACUUGUGAGUUCAUAUGGCUAAUUGCUUUACUAAAGGACUUCGAGGUUCAACACUCACAACAAGUGGUCAUGUAUUGUGACAACAAUGCUUCAUUUCACAUCUCUGAGAACUCCGUCUUCCAUGAACGCACCAAGCAUGUUGACAUUGAUUGUCACAUUGUUCAACAAUAAGUUCAAAGUGGCCAAUUGAAGCUCAUUCAUGUUCCUUCACAAGACAACCUAGCUGAUAUAAUCACAAAGCCCUUAUUCCCAACUCACUUUAUAAAUAUAUUAUCCAAGAUGAGUCUCACCAAUAUGUACACCUCAUCUUGAGGGAGAUUGUUAGGAGAUAAAAGUAUGUUAGUUAGUUUAACUUUCUGUUAGUAGUGUUAGUUAUAUGUAACUAACUUUUCUUUGCCUAUAUAUUAGUUGGUAUCUCUUUGUAAAACUCACUUUUGAUGUCAAUCAAUAACAGAAAGUAUUUUUCAA